GCCUCCGUGGCCCAAUGGAUAAGGCAUCGGUCUCCUAAACCGGGGAUUGUGGGUUCGAGUCCCACCGGAGGUG
Molecule: transfer RNA, 73 nt
Filed under: Lytechinus pictus (painted urchin)
Lineage: Eukaryota; Metazoa; Echinodermata; Echinoidea; Temnopleuroida; Toxopneustidae
Also listed under: 1 other name
Description: transfer RNA arginine (anticodon CCU)
Rfam family: tRNA
About the family: Transfer RNA (tRNA) molecules are approximately 80 nucleotides in length. Their secondary structure includes four short double-helical elements and three loops (D, anti-codon, and T loops).
Source: RNAcentral